CUAAUUAGUAAUGCUUAUAAAGAAUGUGUUGUAGACUGUUGAUACUUGAUUUAUUUUUAGUAGUAUAUGUACUUAAAUAUACUUAACCAAUAUGAUUUAGAAUCCUUAACAUUUAGUUUUUUUUGUUGGUAAGAUAUAUCCAAUUCUAAUGAAACUUUGCAUGUAACAACAAUUUUGAUUGGAUGCUGUCUGCAACCAAUUCCACAGUUGACUGUAUGAAUCAUGGGCACAAAUUCUCCUCAAUCGCAGUCAUAUUAUGGAAAAUUAGAAAUGUAUAACUUUGAACUUAAUAAGGGUUUUUAUUCGGGCGCACUACGUUUGCGCACAUUUGAGGAUUAAAAUGUUUUAGAUUUGCUCGCAGCUUUUGAUGACAUUUGCACGCAUUUAUUUUACAGGUAAAGUCAGGUAAAAAUAUAAUAAAAAAUAAAAUAAAUUAUAA
This 439-nucleotide long non-coding RNA is filed under the name Mytilus galloprovincialis (Mediterranean mussel). Lineage: Eukaryota; Metazoa; Mollusca; Bivalvia; Mytilida; Mytilidae. The record is from RNAcentral.